CCGGUGGAGUAACCAUUUAUGGAGCUAGCCGUCGAAGGUGGGACAAAUGAUUGGGGUGAAGUCGUAACAAGGUAGCCGUAUCGGAAGGUGCGGCUGGAUCACCUCCUUU
Molecule: ribosomal RNA, 109 nt
Filed under: Staphylococcus xylosus
Lineage: Bacteria; Bacillati; Bacillota; Bacilli; Caryophanales; Staphylococcaceae
Also listed under: 1 other name
Description: partial 16S ribosomal RNA
Rfam family: Bacterial small subunit ribosomal RNA
Source: RNAcentral